Molecule: transfer RNA, 64 nt
Filed under: Calotes emma
Lineage: Eukaryota; Metazoa; Chordata; Lepidosauria; Squamata; Agamidae
Also listed under: 1 other name
Description: tRNA-Tyr
Rfam family: tRNA
About the family: Transfer RNA (tRNA) molecules are approximately 80 nucleotides in length. Their secondary structure includes four short double-helical elements and three loops (D, anti-codon, and T loops).
Source: RNAcentral
GGUCAGGUGGCUGAGUUAGGCGGUAGGCUGUAAACCUACUUAUGGGGAAAAGACCCCCUGGUCG